CGUCUUUUGCCCACAAAAAUAAAAGAUAAUGCCUGCCCAGUGAAAACUUAAACGGCCGCGUUAGCGUGAGCGUGCUAAGGUAGCGUAAUAAACAGCCCCCUAAUUAGGGGCCAGUGAAAGGCAACACGAAAGCUUCCUCUAUCCUUUGUAUAAAAAAAAUUUUUCAUUUAUGUUAAAAGACAUAAAUAAUAUAGAAAGACGAAAAGACCCCGCGGAGCUUUACUAAAAAUUCUUUUCUUCACAAAGAAAUACACUAUUAGUUUGGUUGGGGCAACCUUGGAGUAAAUAAAACCUCCAAUAUUUCAUCCUUCAAUAUACAAAAUUUUUAAGGAAAAAAAAGAAGUUACCCCGGGGAUAACAGCGUUAUCUAACUAGAGAGUACACAUCGAAAGUUAGGUUUGCGACCUCGAUGUUGGCUUAGGGUAAUCCAUAUAGGCGCAGCAGCCAUAAAAGGACAGUCUGUUCGACUGCCAACCCCCU
RNAcentral lists this ribosomal RNA (480 nucleotides) under Lamproscapha ensiformis. RNAcentral describes it as "partial 16S large subunit ribosomal RNA". It matches the Rfam family "Bacterial large subunit ribosomal RNA", at positions 1816 to 2597 of the family's 2925-position model. The record is from RNAcentral. Lineage: Eukaryota; Metazoa; Mollusca; Bivalvia; Unionida; Mycetopodidae.